Molecule: ribosomal RNA, 300 nt
Filed under: uncultured Bacillus sp.
Lineage: Bacteria; Bacillati; Bacillota; Bacilli; Caryophanales; Bacillaceae
Description: bacterial SSU rRNA
Rfam family: Bacterial small subunit ribosomal RNA
Source: RNAcentral
GCGAUCUCGUUGCCAGCAUACGUGGUAGUACGGGGGUUGGGAACGUUAAGCGGAAACAGUGGGCGUAAAGCGCGCGGUGGCGGUCGGUGAAGUGUGAUGGGAAAUCCCCGGGCUUAACCUGGGAAUUACAUUCCAAACUGGACGACGAGAGUACGAUAGAGGGAGGUAGAAUUGCCUGGGUAGCGGUGAAAUGCGUAGAUAUAGGAAGGAAUACCAGUGGCGAAGGCGGCCUCCUGGAUCGGUACUGACGCUGAGGCGCGAAAGCGUGGGGAGCAAACAGGAUUAGAUACCCCGGUAGUC